GACGAACGCUGGCGGCGUGCUUAACACAUGCAAGUCGAACGGAAAGGCCCUGCUUUUGUGGGGUGCUCGAGUGGCGAACGGGUGAGUAACACGUGAGUAACCUGCCCUUGACUUUGGGAUAACUUCAGGAAACUGGGGCUAAUACCGGAUAGGAGCUCCUGCUGCCUGGUGGGGGUUGGAAAGUUUCGGCGGUUGGGGAUGGACUCGCGGCUUAUCAGCUUGUUGGUGGGGUAGUGGCUUACCAAGGCUUUGACGGGUAGCCGGCCUGAGAGGGGGACCGGCCACAUUGGGACUGAGAUACGGCCCAGAGUCCUACGGGAGGCAGCGGUGGGGAACAUGGCACAAUGAGCGGAAGCCUGAUGCAGCAACGCCGCGUGCGGGAUGACGGCCUUCGGGUUGUAAACCGCUUUCGCCUGUGACGAAGCGUGAGUGACGGUAAUGGGUAAAGAAGCACCGGCUAACUACGUG
RNAcentral lists this ribosomal RNA (468 nucleotides) under uncultured bacterium. RNAcentral describes it as "partial 16S ribosomal RNA". It matches the Rfam family "Bacterial small subunit ribosomal RNA", at positions 28 to 507 of the family's 1533-position model. The record is from RNAcentral.